GGGUCUAUAGCUAAGUGGUAGAGCAUGUGCUUAGCAUGUAUGAAAUCCUGGAUUAAAUCCCCAGUACCUCCA
This 72-nucleotide transfer RNA is filed under the name Camelus bactrianus (Bactrian camel). It matches the Rfam family "tRNA". Rfam says of the family: Transfer RNA (tRNA) molecules are approximately 80 nucleotides in length. Their secondary structure includes four short double-helical elements and three loops (D, anti-codon, and T loops). The record is from Rfam by way of RNAcentral. RNAcentral also lists the same sequence under 2 other names. Lineage: Eukaryota; Metazoa; Chordata; Mammalia; Artiodactyla; Camelidae.